RNAcentral lists this long non-coding RNA (426 nucleotides) under Homo sapiens (human). Its description in RNAcentral is "non-protein coding lnc-VWF-2:1". The record is from RNAcentral. Lineage: Eukaryota; Metazoa; Chordata; Mammalia; Primates; Hominidae.
CUCCUUUUGCUGCUGUUGCAUCUCCAGGCCUGCAGCCAGGCCUGCCCCGCAGUGGGUGUCAACACGCUCUGUGGAACGAGGGACGGAAUGAGGGACGUGAGUGAUCUGUGUGGAUGGAGGAGUGACUUGCAAUGGAAGCCUGCCAGCCAAGACAGCUGGGCCCCUGGCAGGGAAUCCAGGCCUCCUGCCAGCUACAGCACCAGCUGGGCAGCACCGUGCAUGAGCCGUCUUGGAAGUGGAUCUUCCAGUCCCAGUCGUGCUGGCGCCUUUGGCUGACUGGGCCUUAGCCAACCUCUGCGGGAUCCUGAAGCCGAACCACUGAGGAAGCCAACCAAUUGCAGAGGAAUAUUCUUCAGCUUCUACAAAGAAUCCGGCCUCUUAUUUUUCUUGAAACUUACAGCUGUCUUGGUGUGUCUUAUUUUUUUC